GUGAUAUUUCCAUGAAGCAAAUGGAAAAAGUAGGUAGCUCUAAACGGCACAAUAAGUCUUACACUAUGUCAGUAUAUGCAACGGAUUGGUGUGGGUGCCAACUUUUCUAAUAUGUUAUAUGUAUCAGAAAAGACCACUUCAGCUUCAUCAACGCCCUAAAUAAUCAAGCGGCGCAU
This is a long non-coding RNA of Photinus pyralis (common eastern firefly), 176 nucleotides long. RefSeq lists it as uncharacterized. Lineage: Eukaryota; Metazoa; Arthropoda; Insecta; Coleoptera; Lampyridae. The transcript has 2 exons. The record is from RefSeq and is a predicted model, not a curated record.